RNAcentral lists this long non-coding RNA (207 nucleotides) under Drosophila guanche. Lineage: Eukaryota; Metazoa; Arthropoda; Insecta; Diptera; Drosophilidae. The record is from RNAcentral.
UAUUAGUUAGGCACAGUCGGUUGGCCCAGGGAAAAUUUCAUAAUCCUUAGACGUGCCUUGCACCUUCACAAGCGCCUUAACCGCUUUCUUCUCUGCACUGGUGAAUUCCACAUCCAAGUCCGAAUUUUUAUCUUUAGUUGCAAGUUCGAUGGAGCUCUCCUUUGUCAGCGCAAGUUCAGGAGAAUCAGAGACUAUAAUGGUAUGGUU